GACGAACGCUGGCGGCGUGCUUAACACAUGCAAGUCGAACGGUGAACGAGGGAGCUUGCUCCCUCCGGAUCAGUGGCGAACGGGUGAGUAACACGUGCGCAAUCUGCCCCGAACUCUGGGAUAAGCGUUGGAAACGACGUCUAAUACCGGAUACGACGCGGGAGGGCAUCCUCUCCGCGUGGAAAGAACUUCGGUUCGGGAUGAGCUCGCGGCCUAUCAGCUUGUUGGUUAGGUAACGGCUCACCAAGGCGACGACGGGUAGCCGGCCUGAGAGGGUGACCGGCCACACUGGGACUGAGACACGGCCCAGACUCCUACGGGAGGCAGCAGUGGGGAAUAUUGCACAAUGGGCGCAAGCCUGAUGCAGCAACGCCGCGUGAGGGACGACGGCCUUCGGGUUGUAAACCUCUUUUAGCAGGGAAGAAGCGAAAGUGACGGUACCUGCAGAAAAAGCACCGGCUAACUACGUG
RNAcentral lists this ribosomal RNA (470 nucleotides) under uncultured bacterium. RNAcentral's name for it is "partial 16S ribosomal RNA". It matches the Rfam family "Bacterial small subunit ribosomal RNA", at positions 28 to 507 of the family's 1533-position model. The record is from RNAcentral.